Molecule: unclassified non-coding RNA, 376 nt
Filed under: soil metagenome
Description: partial contains 5.8S ribosomal RNA, internal transcribed spacer 2, and large subunit ribosomal RNA
Rfam family: 5.8S ribosomal RNA (bases 1-120)
Source: RNAcentral
GAUGAAGAACGUAGCGAAAUGCGAUAAGUAAUGUGAAUUGCAGAAUUCAGUGAAUCAUCGAAUCUUUGAACGCACCUUGCACCCUUUGGCAUUCCGAAGGGUAUGCUCGUUUGAGUGUCAUUGUACUCUCAAACUUCCGAUCUUUGGAUUGGGAGCGGUGGACUUGGGUGUUGCUGCUUACUGUGGCUCACCUCAAAUCGAUUCGUGCACCUCUUGGUUGGACAUAGUACGGCGUGAUAAGUGUCUUCGCCGGCACCUCAGUAGAGGGUGGCUGAUCGGGAGCUCUGCUUCAAACCGUCCUCGGACAACAACUGACAACUUGACCUCAAAUCGAGUAGGACUACCCGCUGAACUUAAGCAUAUCAAUAAGCGGAGA